UGAAGGGGCCCAUCCCUGAGUCUGUAGGUCUCUCUUCUCUGGCUUUGUCACUCUGGACUUUGCUUCCGGCUUCAAGUUUCUAGGUGUAAUAUGUGAAGAUUAAUGGCAAUGAAGCAAACGUGCAUAAGAAAAUCCACGCAGCAAAGGCAAUUCCGUUAUUCUCAAGUCCAUAGAUGCCCAGUGUGACAUUGUGAACUGGAGAAAAAGGAGCACUUCCUGUUCAGGAAAUCUUGUAAAAUCAUAAAUGUCAGGACUCAGUCAACAAUACCCCAAAAUGAAGGCCUCAGAAGCAUCCUCAGAG
Molecule: long non-coding RNA, 301 nt
Filed under: Homo sapiens (human)
Lineage: Eukaryota; Metazoa; Chordata; Mammalia; Primates; Hominidae
Description: HSALNT0223383
Source: RNAcentral